GAGAAGAGAUCUUAUCCGAUCAAGGUGGGAAGUUAUCCCCUCAUUGUUUGGGAGGUUAUAGUAGAAUGGCGGUUAAGCUGUUGUAAUCCCCGUAACUGAAGUAAUGGAGGGGGAGCUCUGACUUGCUCCCGAAGCCCAGUCGAACUCAGGUCUUAGAGCCCAAGUCUAAUGUUAUUCGGGUAUAUGGACCCGCCGAUUGGAUCUGACCUCCAUAACAGGCUAGGUUGUGAGGACAUUUUGAGGACCAUCUUCGAGUAACAGUCUAAGUCAUAAAUACGAAUCCUUUGUUUGUUGGUCACCGAGCUUGGCAUGUUGAGAGAUCGACAACUGUCUGAGUAGGAGCCAGAUCGAUCUUAUUGUUGGAGUCAGUCGUGAUGUCUUGUUUCUCAUGUCAGAUUAUGCUUAACACAAGACGAAUCUCUGCAUGGUUUCACUAUAGAUCAAGUCAAAAACAUCAUGUAAUUCUUGGAGAGCAUGUACAUUGUUUUAAUUGCUCUCGUGUCUUUUCAGUUUUCUUGAUAACCGCACCUAGCAUUUAAAUCCUUACAAAAUUACCAUAAUGCCCCUACUUAUACUUAUUUAUAACCCUUCUCUUUCUUUGCAUUCUUCUUUUUUCGCUUGAUUUCUCUUCAUUCAACUUUGUAUUCUCUCAUUUCUAUUUCCUUUGUUGGUGCUCCCAGGAUUUACAAAGUGUUCUUUGCUUUUUCCUAAUUUCAUCUUCAUUAGGUUGGUUCUUUUUCACUUUCACCAUGCUUUAUGCUUUACUCUUUCUUCUUUUUCUUUUCAUCUUGCCAAUAUACUAUUAUUUCUGAUGCUAUGUGAUUCUUGAUGCCUUCCACAGGCAGUGACGCUGCCGUCAUGGUGGUGGCUUUGUUCCUGAAUAAGUGCUUGUUUUUUGGAAGUUUUGAUUGCUUGUGGUCCCCACCACACAAACCUUUUUUUCUUCUUUCACGUUUUUAAAUAGUCAUUCAAUUUUACUUUUGUAGGUAUCUGACCUCAUAACCAAAUCGAUUGUUAAUGAGAUGCCUUCCAACAUACUUGUAAGUUUAGCUUAGAUGGAUACUACUAUCUCGAGCGUCCCUUACUUUAUCUACAUGUACGAGUGUCUCUUUAUAAUGUUGGGAUAAAGAUCCUUUUUAUCAAGUUCGAGUAUGUUGUCCUUUACACAUGUAAAGUGACUCCUACUUAACUCCAUCCAAACUUUUAGACCUUCAUGCUAGGAUUCCAGGUUAUGUGUUGGACACUUUGACUUGUUUGCUCCCUCCGGGUUUUCCUUCACCUCUUCACCUGGCAAAGCCCUUCAGUGUCAAAAAACAACAAUAGGUUUCUGUCCGAGCUCACCAAGAUUAGAAGAUCUUCCAGAUUUUUUAGGACUCUUUCCACGAUUUUCAAAAACUUUUACUUUAAGAGAGGAUGACCAGCGCAUCUGAAUCCUACAAGCGCAUGAAACAAGGAUGAAACCAUGGAAGUUGAGCGGCGAGGAACAAGUUUAUGAGAGUUUAUAGCUAUGGCGGUGGCUAGAAAAUUUAGUGGAUAGUGUUAUUGUCUUUCAUUGUUCGGAAGAGUCGGGGAGGUAGUGUGGAGGAUUGAAAAUUGGGGUGAGGUAGAAAUAUAAUUAUAAUUGGAAAUUUGAGAUUAGAUUGUUUAAGAAGAGGAUAAUUUGAAAUUUUAGAUAGGUUUUUACUGUCCGAAUAUUUUAGUUAAUAUAGCCCAUCUUUUAUAAGUACAACGUAAAUUUUAAUUUUUCG
Molecule: non-coding RNA, 1748 nt
Organism: Arachis ipaensis
Lineage: Eukaryota; Viridiplantae; Streptophyta; Magnoliopsida; Fabales; Fabaceae
Source: RefSeq, a predicted model, not a curated record